This 79-nucleotide long non-coding RNA is filed under the name Numida meleagris (helmeted guineafowl). RNAcentral describes it as "lncRNA (ENSNMEG00000004633.1)". The record is from RNAcentral. Lineage: Eukaryota; Metazoa; Chordata; Aves; Galliformes; Numididae.
AAGAUGAUAUGAAGAAAGCAAAUCUACCUUCUUGGCUUGAAAACCAGCUUAGAGUCUCCUUUUGCCAUAAUUUGUAGCU